This 497-nucleotide ribosomal RNA is filed under the name uncultured bacterium. RNAcentral's name for it is "partial 16S ribosomal RNA". It matches the Rfam family "Bacterial small subunit ribosomal RNA", at positions 28 to 507 of the family's 1533-position model. The record is from RNAcentral.
GACGAACGCUGGCGGCGUGCCUAAUACAUGCAAGUUGAGCGCUGAAGGUUGGUACUUGUACCAACUGGAUGAGCAGCGAACGGGUGAGUAACGCGUGGGGAAUCUGCCUUUGAGCGGGGGACAACAUUUGGAAACGAAUGCUAAUACCGCAUAAAAACUUUAAACACAAGUUUUAAGUUUGAAAGAUGCAAUUGCAUCACUCAAAGAUGAUCCCGCGUUGUAUUAGCUAGUUGGUGAGGUAAAGGCUCACCAAGGCGAUGAUACAUAGCCGACCUGAGAGGGUGAUCGGCCACAUUGGGACUGAGACACGGCCCAAACGCCUACGGGAGGCAGCAGUAGGGCAUCUUCGGCAAUGGACGAGAGUCUGACCGAGCAACGCCGCGUGAGUGAAGAAGGUUUUCGGAUCGUAAAACUCUGUUGGUAGAGAAGAACGUUGGUGAGAGUGGAAAGCUCAUCAAGUGACGGUAACUACCCAGAAAGGGACGGCUAACUACGUG